GCCGCCGUAGCUCAGCUGGGAGAGCACCCGGCUGAAGACCGGGCUGUCGGGGGUUCAAGUCCCCCCGGCGGCA
This 73-nucleotide transfer RNA is filed under the name Thermoprotei archaeon. RNAcentral describes it as "tRNA-Phe". It matches the Rfam family "tRNA". Rfam says of the family: Transfer RNA (tRNA) molecules are approximately 80 nucleotides in length. Their secondary structure includes four short double-helical elements and three loops (D, anti-codon, and T loops). The record is from RNAcentral. Lineage: Archaea; Thermoproteati; Thermoproteota; Thermoprotei. RNAcentral also lists the same sequence under 1 other name.